Long non-coding RNA from Helianthus annuus (common sunflower), 521 nucleotides. RefSeq lists it as uncharacterized. The record is from RefSeq and is a predicted model, not a curated record. NCBI's taxonomy places the organism in Eukaryota, Viridiplantae, Streptophyta, Magnoliopsida, Asterales, Asteraceae. The transcript is spliced from 2 exons.
UGUAAAAAAAGUAAAAUAUAACUUUGUUAAAUAAUAAUUUUAUUUUCAAUACACAUUUAAUUGGUAUAAUCGAACAGGCCGAGGUUGAUAGAGGAAGAGGAAUGGCGGUAAUUCUUUUUCAUGUUGAAGCAAGCUUGGACAAUCUGGUGAGUGCAUGUUCAAGGGUUGAUAUAGUCCUUGGUGUGUUAGGGUGGUCCACAGGGUGUAGUUGGCCUAGUUUAGGCGAAAAUCAACACAUACGCGAAUGUUAGUUACUUGAUCGCGAACAGAUGCAGGGUAACAAGUUUUGUCGGUUCAGAAUAAAAACACAAUUCUUUCCUCAGUUGUUGUCUGUAGUUAUACACAUAAAUUUGUUGCACAAUGAUAACAAAAUAAUGUAGUAGAUGGAGGGGGAGUGUAUAUAAAAGAGAAUAGUAUAGGUGUACAUGUAUUUGGAAGGAUGAAAUAGUGAGAUGUAUACACAAAGUAUUGCAGCUUUGAUAUUUCAAGUAUCACCAAGUCAGUGUAUUGUUGCGAUACAA